RNAcentral lists this ribosomal RNA (406 nucleotides) under uncultured bacterium. RNAcentral's name for it is "partial 16S ribosomal RNA". It matches the Rfam family "Bacterial small subunit ribosomal RNA", at positions 29 to 526 of the family's 1533-position model. The record is from RNAcentral.
AUUGAACGCUGGCGGCAGGCCUAACACAUGCACGUCGAGAGAGCGGCGGACGGGUGAGUAAUGUAGGGGGAUAUGCCCGAUAGAGGAGGAUCAAUACUGGAAAAGAUGGCUAAUACCGAAUACUCUCUGAGGAACACAUAUGGGAUUAGAUAGUAGGUGGGGUAAAGGCUCACCUAGGCGACGAUCGCUAGCUGGUAUGAGAGGAUGACCAGCAACACUGGGACCGAGACACGGCCCAGACUCCUACGGGAGGCAGCAGUGGGGAAUAUUGUACAAUGGGCGCAAGCCUGAUGCAGACAUGCCGCGUGUAUGAAGAAGGCCUUAGGGUUGUAAAGUACUUUCAGCGGGGAGGCGUUACCCGCAGAAGAAGCACCGGCUAACUCCGUGCCAGCAGCCGCGGUAAUAC